Molecule: long non-coding RNA, 546 nt
Organism: Mytilus californianus (California mussel)
Lineage: Eukaryota; Metazoa; Mollusca; Bivalvia; Mytilida; Mytilidae
Exons: 2
Source: RefSeq, a predicted model, not a curated record
ACUCAAUCAAAAAACGUAGUUCUGUAACAUAAAUUAACACACAAUGAACGAAUAAAUUUUAACCAGUACAUAUAUAUUUAUAAGCUAAACUGUUGAUCUUCUUUCUGUUGUUUCCUUACAUAUUGUUUCCAUUCACUCAAAACUAUAUAGUAAAGGUAUAAAUUAGUUAGCAUCAGUUCAUCAUGUUCAUACUAGAUCUAGUUUUUGUCUGGACUUCUUGAUUAAAUUAUUUAGAUUUACAAUUUAAGCUUGUUAAUUACCAAAUGAAAGAAAAAUGCAGUAUUAAAAUCACUGGUGGACAAGUACAUGUAGGUGUGAAUGUCCUGCAAAAAGAACUGGUAUCAAAUGAACAUGGGGAAGAAUAACCAAUACAGGAUAUAGAAAACUACCUCACAAACAUGGGAAAUAUUACAAGAAAAACCCAAUAUUUUGAUUUACGAAGAAGGCAUUUAUUUUGACAUUCAUGUAAAUGUUGUACUAGGAAAACUGAAGAGAUUAAAAUGUGAAUAAAAAUCCUUGGAAAUAAAGUUAGAAGAUUGAAAAUUA